RNAcentral lists this long non-coding RNA (29710 nucleotides) under Coffea arabica (coffee). Its description in RNAcentral is "long non-coding RNA (CARA_LNC001832)". The record is from RNAcentral. Lineage: Eukaryota; Viridiplantae; Streptophyta; Magnoliopsida; Gentianales; Rubiaceae.
UACGGGGAGACCUAAAUCGUGACUCAAUUUGCCCUUUUAUAGAGAGGAUACAAGCGUGCUAAGGCUUUAGGAAAAGCCACACUCGUCUAUAUCCCAUAUUUAAGGGGACACUCAAGCAAAAUGAACCCUAUAACUAGUAUGAGAUGCAAAAAAUCCUAAAAUGAGGGGAAAAGAGGUUCGAGGAGCAUGCCAGAUGAUAAAACUAAGGGAAGAUGCAUGAUAUGUAGUGAACAGGCAAAUAAUGCAUUAAUGAAAAACAAAGGAAAAAUCCUAUUGGGUCUAGCGUUGGGCUAGCCCUUUCUAUGAAUUCCUAAUGAAAUAAUGAGCCACGACUAGCAUUGGACUAGUGUGGUGACGUACAUUCAUCCAUUCCAUUCAUUCAUGGUUAUGAAAGCAAGUAGACAUGCCAAAACACUCGUAAACACGUAACACGUAACACUUAGCAUGCUCGACUAGAUGCAAGAGCCUAAUAAAGCAAUUAAACAUGUAGCAACAAAAGCAAGCCACCAGGGGGAAGGGGAAGUGGACCAGAUGCUCUCCGAGCCCUAUCUAUUACAAGCCAAGAGGUGUACACAUACCCCAUAAAACUUAAAUAAAAGUAAAAAGUAAGUAAAUGCAUGCAAGGAGGUAAGGAAAGCGAAGUAGACAGGCAUAUUCACAUAACACAUAAGAUCACAUAGGAGAGACAAAAAGGGAUAAAAGAAGUGGUACCUCCCUUGAGUUGGAGCUCUAACGUAGUGGAGUUACUAAUGUACCCUCCAAAAUAAUAAGAGGGUCAAGGUACCAAUUUAUUUGGGAAAAAUUAAAGGAAAUAAGCAAUCACAAGCUCACUUGGUCAUAAAGCCCCUAAAAUCAUGAAUUAAGUGCAAUUGAAACGAAGCAUGGUAGUCAAUUGAAACAAACAAGCAAUGAAUUGCAAAAAUUAAAACUACUAAGGAUUAAAUUGAUGAAAUCAUUCAAUUGACUGGGCCAUAGUGAAGAAGAAGGGAACUUGGGGGAUCAAAUUGCAGUUUGUAGCAAUUAUUUCAUGCAUGCACAAAGGCUGAAGCAGUUUUUCUUCAUUUUUCUUUUUGCUGGUUUCGGCCAAAGCUUCCUAUGGGCUUAAGCAUACAACAAUCCUUAGGCAGCCAAUAUCAAUCCUCAAACCCAAAAGAAACAACGAGAUCAGCAACUAAAAUCCAUCAGUAAUCAUCUCAUCAACAAUUAAUGAACAUCCUAACAUCAAACAACCAUUGAAAACCCAAGCAAAGAGAAAAAUGAGGACAAACGGAAAUGCAUUUUGCAUCUGAUGAAACCAGUGGGGAUUUUACCAGGAGCACAAGAAAGUUUUCAAUCACAUCACUCAAACCAUCAAACAUCAAACCCUUUCUAAUCCUUGUGAGCAAUAUUAAGCCACUAAAAACCAGUUUGCAAAACAUGAAAAGCAAACGAAAAUUAAGACAAACAGAGAAAGAAAAGAAAAAGCUCUAAACUCCGGAUUCAUUCACAAGUUUCUGGGUUCCUUUAUCAAACAUUUAAAUCAUGCCAACCAACCUCCAAGCUAAAGAAAGCUUGCAAUUUACUCCAUUUAACACCAAAACCUAACAUUAGAAUUGCACCAACACAAAAACAGCAACCGGGGAAACAUCAAGACAGCAAAUCAUGAUGAAAAAUCAAGGAACUAAACCAGCCGCAAAAUGCCACAGGAUUCAUGCCUUUUGGAUUUGGAUUCUCAUGGAAACAGUGUUAAAGAAAGAAAGGGAGAAGCAAGGGUUACCUCAGAAUGUUUGUGGCAUCGAACCAAUGUGAAAUCUCCAAGAAAUGGCGUGCUGACUCUUGAAAUGAAGCAAAAGGAACUUUGCCGCAAAAAUUCUGUGAUGAUGAACUUUGGGUCCUGAUUUGGGAGGGCUAUGGAUGUUGCUUUAGGGAGAUUCCUAAAUGAAGUUCUGGUUUUACUUGCCAAGAUGGUGCAGAAAUCAAGAGUUCUUCCAUAAAGCUAAGAGCUUUUCAGAAAUUGGUCACAAAAUCAAGCUGGUUCGUCAGCCGAGUGAUGAAUUUUUCUCUUUUUUGCUAGCAGCCAUCCUUUCUUGCUUUCUUCAGCCGUGGAAAACUCUCAAGCUCUCAUUUUUCCUCAAGCUUCAGAAACUUAUUCACAAGCUUUCUCUUUUCCAGAAUCCCAGCCCGUAGCCCUCUCUCUCACUCCAUCUCUUUCUUACCCAAAGACCUAGCCGUCACCUCUGUUUCUUUUCGUUUUCCGGCUCUCUAUCCUCUCUCGUUUCUUUUUCCCUUUGCUGUUUUUCUAUCCCCGUUUGUUCUCUCCUUGCGGCUGUCUUGCGGCUUUCCUUUUAUAUCUAGGAACCACAACCCUAAACCUUCAGCCAGCUCUUCUAUAUUUACAACCCAAGGGGCUGCCCGAAGCCCUCCCUUGCAAGCUGCAAAAACGCAGCUUGCAAGUCGCGUUUCUCUUUUUUUUUUUUUUUUUUUUAACUUUCAACUUAAUAAAUACAGAAAUGAUAAAAUAUAAAUAAUAAUAAUAAUAACAAAUUGCCAAAAACCAGGUAAAUAAUAAUAAUAAUAAUAAUGAAAAUAAUUUAAAAACUAAACAACUAAAAACAACAAAAAUGGCCAUUUUUCCAUCUUUUUUGUUUCAUUUUUCAUUUUUCAUAUUUUUCAUUUUUUCUUUCAAGAAAGCAUUGAAUUUAAAUUACAAACGACUAAAUCAUAUUUUUUUUUUGAAUGCUUUUCUUUUUUCUUUUUUUCUCUUUUUCAACAAAUUCUAUGAUAAAACUUAAAAAUAAAAAUAAAACUAGAAACUAAAAACUAAAAAUGAACACAACAAAUAAAAACUAAAAAUGAAAUUUCACCAAAAAUUUGGUGUCUACAAACUGUAUGGUGCAAUUAUUUUCACUAAAAUAGACUUGAAAAGCGGAUACUAUCAAAUUAGGAUAAAGGAAAGAGAUGAAUGAAAAAUCGCAUUUAAGAUUAAGUAUGGACUAUAUGAGUCAUUAAUUAUGCCUUUUGGGUUAACUAAUGCACCUAAUACAUUCAUGCGUUUGAUGAAUCACAUACUUAGGCCAUUCUUGAAAAAAUUCAUCGUAGUUUAUUUUGAUGAUAUACUUGAAUACAGUCAUAGCCUAAAGAAGCACUUAGUGCAUUUGAGAUCUAUUUUUAACAUAAUUCGCCGAGAGCAAUUAUAUGCUAAUCUCAAAAAGUGCACCUUUUGCACUAAUAGAUUUGUAUUUCUGGAUUUUGUAGUUAGUAGAUAGAGAAUAUAGGUAGAUAAAAAUAAGAUUCAGGUCAUAUAAGAUUCGCCCGACACCCACGUCCAUGAGUGAAGUUCGAAACUUCCAUGGACUUGCGAGGUUCUACAAGUGAUUCGUGAAGGAUUUUAGCACUAUAGCUGCCCCAUUGACUGCAGUUAUCAAGAAGAAUGAGAGAUUUGUUUGGAGAGAAGCUUAAGAUUAGGCGUUACAUACCUUUAAACAUAAACUCACACAGGUACCUAUUUUAAUUUUACCUGAUUUCAAUAAAACUUUUGAAAUUGAGUGUAAUGCUUCAGAUAUUGGAGUUGGUGCUGUAUUGAUACAAGCAGGGAAACCAAUCAUCUCCUUUAGUGAGAAGUUUGGCAGAGUAGCACUGAACUAUUCGACAUACGAUAAGGAGUUGUAUGCCUUGAUUUGAGCAUUAGAGACGUGACAGCAUUACUUGCAAGCCAAGGAGUUCAUGAUUCAUACGAACCAUGAAUCAUUGCAGUAUCUGAAUUGUAACACAAGUUGAGUAAGAAGCAUGUUUGUUGGAUCAUUUUCAUUGAGUCAUUCCCAUAUGUCAUCAAACAUGAGUCUAGUAAGACCAAUAUUAUUGUUGAUGCACUAUGGCGCAGGUACACCCUAAUAAGCACUUUAGAUGCCAAGAUCUUAGGGUUUGAAUUUAUUAACGACUUGUAUCAAAAUGACACUGAUUUUGGAGAGAUUUUUGAGUCUUGUAAAAUACCUCAAAAGAGUAAGUUCUUCAUUUCUAAUGAAUUUCUCUACUAUAUCGAUAAACUGUGUAUUCCAGUUUGUUCGAUUCGUGAAUUGAUAAUAAGGGAAUCACAUGAUAGGGGAUUAAUGAGACAUUUUGGGAUAUCUAAGACGUAUUCUAUCUUGCAGAAACACUUCUACUGGCCACGCAUGAAAUAGAACAUGGAAUGAUUCAUUAACAAGUGUGUCACAUGCAGACAAAUCAAGUCUAAAACACGUCUACAUGGCCUUUACACUCCGUUAUCUAUAUUUAAGGAAUCAUGGAUAAAUCCGUCAAUUGAUUUCAUAUUGGGGUUACUUAAGUCUAGCAGGGAUGAUAGUUUCAUUUAUGUUGUAGUGGAUAGAUUCUCUAAAAUGGCGCAUUUCAUUGCUGGUCAUAAGACUGACAAUACAUUUCAUAUAGUUGACUUGUUCUUUAAGAAGAUAAUAAGAUUGCAUGGUGUUCCUAAAUCCAUCGUAUUUGAUAUGGACGUGAAGUUCCUUAACUAUUUUCUGGAAGAUCUCAUGGUUUAAGUUGGAAAUUAAAUUAUUAUUUUCAAUAACUAGUCAUCCACAGACAGAUGAUCAAACAAAGGUAGUCAAUAGAACACUCUCGACAUUGUUACGAGCUAUACUGUGUAAAAAUCUUAGGGCGCGAGAAGAGUGUUUACCUUAUGCCGAGUUUGCAUAUAAUAGAAUUGUUCAUUCUACUAGUGAUAUUCGUCAUUUGAGAUCGUAUACGAUUUUAAUCCAUUAACACCUUUGGAUCAGUGCCAUUACCUAUUUUUGAGCAAGUUAAUUUAGAUAGUAAGAAAAAAGUAGAGUAUGUUCGCCAUGUUCAUGAAAAGGUACAAACAAUUAAGAGAAGCAGACAUUGUAGUAUGUUACUCAGGCAAACAAGGGGCAUGAGCGGGUGGUGUUUGAAUCAGGUAACUGGAUUUAGUUUCACCUCAGAAAGGACCGUUUCCCUAUCCAACAUCACAAUAAGUUGCUACCACGUGGAGAUAGACCUUUCCAAGUACUCAAACGCGCCAACGACAAUGCCUACAAACUCGAAUUACUAGGUGAGUAUGGAGUUAAUGCCACCUUUAAUGUAUUUGACUUAGUCCUUUUCUUGCAGGUGAUGCGGAUGAUUUGAGGACAAAUUCUUUUGAAGAGGAGGGGAUUGAUGCAGUAUCCAAGGCUGUCCAAGUUGAUUCGAGUCUUAAGUUGGAUCAGUGAUUGUUCCGGUGGGUUCGAUGAUGCAAGGUCGAGCCAAGCGAGUCAAUGAGUUACUUCAACCCCUGGUUCGAUUUGUUCAAGAAUCAAUUGGAGCACUAAAUAUGGAAUCAAGUCUCGUUAAUUUGCUCCAAACUACAGUUGAAGAUGAUUCUUGAGGGGCCAAAUGUUAGUUGUUAUUUUAGAUUUACUUAAUAGCUAAAUAAAACGGUCUAGUUUUAAACUUGAAUUCGUAUUUAGUUAUUAGGGUUUUAGACUACAUGUUAAGAUCCGUUUAGUUGUUCAAGCAUAGGCUGUUUAACCCAAGUUUAGUUAAGUCCGUGUUUGGGUAUGUUUGUGUCAAGAUGAUAAAAACAUCAUUUCUCAUGGUGAAUGACAAAACACGAUUUUUGAGAACAUCGUUCUUGAGAGAACCCUCUCUUUAGCUCGACGAGCUUCUAUUGAACAUCUAGAAUCAUCUAGUGUUCAUAUUCGAUUUAACAAUCAAGAAUUCUAUUUUUUAUUGUGGCACCUUUUAACAAAUUUUUAAGGUUCGCUAGUUCAUUUGAUUAUGAGUGAAGAAGGUUUGCAAUCACGGGGAUUAGAGAAGUUCGGAGUAGGAAAUGUCAUCCAAUUCAAACUUGUGAAUAUCACCAUCGGGUCGGGGUUCGUCGUCACGAUUCUCGUCAUCAACGGGAUUCGUAUCAAAAAGUAUAAGAGACAUUUAAAUUGGACGAAGACAUAAUAUGUUUGAAGAUUGAUAAUAAAGGAUAACCUAACUCAUGAUGCCACUCAAACAGAGUGGUCUUAACAUCAAAAAAUGCAAUUAAAUGUGGUUGAAUAGUGGAGAGUAACCAUUCAUGCACACCAUCCUUAGUCCGAUCCUACAAAAGAAUUUCUCUAGUGUGAAGAUCCUUCACAUGAAAAGAAGAGAUAAGAAUUCAAUAGAAGUAUUGUUAGGGAGUGCUUGGUUCACAGAUUGGAAUCGGAAAUGAAAAUGGAAUCAUGAACUCUAAUAUUGGAAUAAAACUUUUCAUUCCAAUAUCUUAGCUUGGUUCACACACUGGAAUUAGCAUCAUUCCAAUUCUUGAUGCUUGGUUUGAUAAGUGUUUUGAAAUGAAAUAUAAUUAAAUUCUAGUUUUGCCCCUGAUAUAAAAAUUAUAAUAAAAUAAAAGAAUUACAUAUACAACAAAUUAACAUCUCCACAAUUGUAACCACAAUAGUUAGUCGGCUUUUGAUUAAAAAAAUAAGAAAAUCAUAAACAAUAGGAAAUAUUAAUGCUAGAAAAUAAAUAUAGUAGCUGUAGUAAAAAGUCAUUUGUGGUUCCUACAUUAAACAAUGAUUUGAAAUAGAAGAUCUCUCCUUACAUAUAUGAACAACAGAAGGCGACCCAAAUAAAAAAAGCUAACCAUGCUAUUGCCAAAUUCCAUAAGAACAAAAUACAAACUAAUAGUUUAAACCAAUCAAGAGUGCCACUCAAUAUCCACAAUCUCUAAAAGACUAAUCAUAUAACUAUUUAACAACCACCAUAACAAAGAGAAAUUACCACCAAAUCAUCACUUUUCAGCUAGCAAUAUGUCUUAUUUCAGUGAGUAGAUGGAGGAUAAAGGAGAUUAAUUACAUAUUAUCGCCUCAUUUCUGCAGGAAGAUUAUAGAACACAUGAAACUUGAAAUCUGCUCUGAAAGUAUGUUGGCUGCAUUCAUUACAUCUCCACUUGGUAAAACAAGUUUCAACAACUCAAUAAUAACUUGAUUUUUUCUAUUAGAAAUCAAUUACUCACGUUUAUCCUCAUUUGACAUGGUUGUUGCCAUAGUUGCAAAAUUAAUUUGAAUUCCCUCCACAAAGUCUCCAAAUUUGCUGCUAAGAAGUUACAAUGAUGCAUCAAGAUCAUCCCUUGUUAUUGAUGAAGAUUUCAUUUUUUUUGACAUAUUUGCAAUGGGAAGUGAUUGUUUCUUUUGUUUCUUAGAAUUCCUUAUGCUUGUUGAGGUUGGUUGAGUUGAUUAUAUCAUGAAAUUUACUUCAUUUUCUUCUACAUUAUCAUCAUCUGAGUUUGACAUAGCAUCAACCCCUUCAUCUCAUUCGUCCAAAUUUUGGGCAGUUUUCAUAAUUUGGAUAGCUUGUAUAAAAUCUUUAGCAACAUUUUUAGUGACUCUAUCUCUUCCAUAUACAAUUUCAAGAUCUCUAAAUAUGGAAAUUUGACAUCCUAAAGGCCCUUUGCAUCCUUAUGGGUGUAAAACAUAAAAUAGAAAGAUAAAUGAUAAUCUUAAUAAAAUUUUGAAACUAACAUAUGAUAAUGUAAAGAGUAGUCAAUUUCUUAUCUUGUACCAAUAAUCAUAUCACUAUUUUUCACAAGAAAUCUUUUUCUCAACAUCAUUCCAACUACAACCAUUUUCUUUGCACAUUUCAACAAUUGCAUGGUAUCUAUUUUUCAACCACUUAACUUUUGAUUCAAUAUGUGGGCUAACUUGCUUGGUAGAAAUAAGUUGCUUACGCAAAAUAAUUUUAAGUAAUUCAUUCAUAUAAUUAUUUCUAAAUCCUUCAUCUGAUUUUCACAUUGGAUCACAAGCCAACUCUUGCAAUGCUUCUAUGAGCACUUUCACCUCUUCAUUAGUCCAAAAAUAUAUGUUUCUCCCUCUUCCACGUACAAUUUCAUCGUUCUCCAUCCUAUCAUUUAAAAGUCAGCCCAUAUAUACCAAUUAAUUUCAAUAAAAAAUACUAUGUAAGUGAAAUUUGUAAUAUAAAAAACACAUAAAAGAACAUAUAAUUAAUUUAAUCACACAAAAAAUUUGAAAAAUAAAUUUCAUAAUAGAAACAUAUCAAGUGUCAAUCCAGUUCACAAAUCCACUACUAGAAUACAUCAAAUGUCAAUCCAAAUUUAAUAACUCUAAGAACUAAGCAUAAAUUCAUAACUAACUACUAAAUCCAGCUCUCUAAUUGUCAAACAUUUCUUGAACUAAAUUAUUUCUAAAAUUUGCCUAUUAAUCACUUGACGAAAUAGUGGAUAUAUACUCUACUUUUUCAUCUCUGUCUUCAUCUUUACUUUCAUUUUUCUUCACUUUGUAGUAAUUCUUGUAGAUCAAAAGUCAUGAACUUCCUUAUCAAGUUGUGCAGCAGAUAACAUGCCAUAAUUAUUCGCACUUGUGUUUGAAUUGAAAAAAAUGAAAUGGAUGCUAGAAUCUUCUACCUUCCUUUUAGCAAUUCAAAACAUCUUUCUAUGAUAUUUCUAACUUUAGAAUGUUUCAUAUUAAAAUGUUCCUCUAGUCUCUGUGGUCAAUAAUCAUUGAAUUCAUUAAGGUGAUAUCUUUGCCCUCGAUAAGGGACAAUAAAUCCAUCAACAUUACAAUAUCCAACAUCCACCAAGUAAUAACAAUCUUUAAAAUUCAAUUAUGCACAAAUUAAUACUAAACUAACUACCUUAUUUUAGAAAAAAAAAUUGAUUAAAUGGUAUUAGAUACUGCAAUGCAUGUUUACUUUGUGGGACUCUAAGACCAUUAGGUCUAGAGAUAGUAUUUCGAAACACACGACCAUUAUAUGUCGAACCUUCCCAACCAGCCAAGACAUAAAUAAAUUGUAUAUUAGGAGAACAAACCCCUAAUACAUUCGUUUCAAUACUUCUUUUUCUUGUUCGGUAUCUUGAUUUUUGUUCAGUGGGUGGUGUCACAUCUAUUAAUAUCCCAUCUAAGACACCUAAACAAUUCUAUUUUAACAAAAGCCAAAAAUGUAAAAUGAGUUAAAAUCUCUAUAUUGGAUAGUUUGGAUGAAAAUAUGCAUUUUAUUAACUGAUUCUAUUGCAAUUGAUGAAUUACCUUAAUACAUUUUCAUCUCUCAUUUGUGCAAUCUUCGUUAAUAGGCUCAGACUUUUUAAGCAAUAUAGUAUGCAAUUUCAAAACUGCUAGGAGGCAAAGAUUGAACUGACGAUUCAUUGUUUCUCUACUUCUCCAAAAUAGACCACAAAUUGUUCUAAUUUUUUUGUGGUGAGCCAAAACAUAGACAAACAUUGCAACAAUUUCUUCUAUUAACAUGUUUCUUGUAGCUUUCAAGCCUCUAAUGUCUCUAAUCAUUUCACAUAAUAUCCCAAGUGUUCGUCUAUUCAUACGAAGUUUGCUAAUACAAUAAACAUCACUCUCCCUAAUCAAGUUAAAUAAGUGUUGCAUGCGCUCAGUGAUAUUUUCUUCUUUUGAUUUUAUUUGGCGCCUUCUACUUUUGAGAUGAAUGAAUAUUAACUGGUACCACAUCAUACAAAGUGCAAUAACAACCAUUACAUUCUCGAUAAAAUUUGGCUAUUUCGAUUUUUUUUUCGUCUUUUGUUUCUAAUAGGCAAACGCGGCAUCUUUGUCUACAUAACAAUAUGAUAAUAAAAAAUAAGUAUUCACCAUAAAACAUGAAAGACAAAUGCAUAUGUGUCAAAUAUAAUGCCUCCAGAUAUUGAUAAUACCCUUUCUCGUGUUUUCUUUCUUUUGGUUGAUGUAAAUAUUAAGAAGAUAAUUUGAAAGUUUUACAAAUAAAGGUUGGCACCUAAAACAAUCAUAUACAGAUGAAAAUUGGACUAUUUCUGCUCCUAAUUACUUUUUCUUUUUUCCCUUAAUAUAUCGGUCGAGUUGAUUUAAAAGAUUUAUCCAAUCAAAUUUUCUUCAAAUUCGGUGAUGCAUAUCCCCAUCUUUGUUGACAUAUUGCUAUGAAUGUGUAUUAUAAUAUUUUAUUCUAACCAUGGACAAGAUUGAUCAAGUCAAUUAGAUCUAUAGGUGUUAACUAGGUGAAAAUGACGUGAUUGUCGAAUUAAUAUUCUUGAGUACUCUAUGCAAAACUGUCGAGACUUCGUGACAUGAAUAAAUUCAAAGAUGGAAAAAAAUUAUCCAAGAUAUAUGAUUGCAGGAUAUAUCAUAUACUAUAAGGUAGCAUGUGAUGAGAUAUAAAAGUUCAUAAUAAAGAAAUCAUGAGCAAAUUCACUAGUCACUGCAGUGUUGAGCAAUUUUUUCACAACUUAAGCAAUAAAAAAGAAGCUCUAAGCAACCUCCAAUCUCGAUCCCUACCCACAAACAACCUUAUCUCUACCACCUUAAACAAAUCUGAAAACGCCUAUCUAAAAUUCAAUCUGUGACGCCCCCGCUUCUCUCAAGGGCGAACCCUAGGGUAUCGGCGAGACGCCUGCCUAGCUCGCGCCAGGACUCAAAAUUUCAAAACAAUAAAACUAGAUAAACCCACAAGCGUACUAUUCACUAUAUAUCUAACGCCAAAAGAGUUCUAUUUACAUCUUCAAAAGUAUCGAGUCAAACCACGCUAAUACAUUAUAAUAACAACCAGCAGAAGGUAGACCCUAAGGAGGGUCCUUAUACAAACCACCAAAAUAAAAACAAACAUCCUAACUGUCCGACUAUUACAAUCAAACCUAACUAUACUAGUGAAGGUGCCAAGAAGUUCCCCGCGUCGUCCCCUGCUAAGGAAAACAAAGGAAACGGGGUAAACUAGAAGCUUAGUAAGUCAACAGGGGUAAAAGCGUAAAAUUUCACAUUUAAAGAAACAGCUAUUCCACAAAAUGUCAAGUCAAGUGCAAAAGUAACAAUAUAAAGGAAGGAUACAGGUUGGCUUCAAAGCCAAGUCAUUUGCCAUGCGUGAUCUCCUGUCGACACUCCGUCGACCAUAAAUAAGGUCCGUAGAACUCCACUUGUACACCUACCGAACACCUUAUCACCCUCACUGGCCAGUCACCUCACAAACUUGUUCGGGCGAACGAAAUCACAAACUUGAGCUUGAGUCACAAGCUCGGGUCACAAACUUGGUUCACGUUCUCAGUGAACCGGAUUCACAAACUUGGUGACCUCAGACUAAGUUGGACUGGCUUCGACCAAACCCUGACCGGCUCGAAUAGUCCAUCUAGGUCGGAAGAUCAACCCAAACUUACAAACGUCACCCCGAGCUACAAGCUCAAGGGGUUCAAAUCCAAAACUCACAAACGUCACCCCGAGCUACAAGCUCAAGGGGUUCAAACCCAAAAUAAUUCAUGUAUACACAUCUCAUAAAGAAACAUAGGUACAAGCUAGGGUUUAGGUCGAGUGUGAUAAAGUACACCCUCGCCUAAGUUCCUCUUUUAUUCACAUCAAAACACAUAAGCGAUUUAUACACAUAAAUGGCCUGAAUACUUACUCAAAAUACAAAAGUGGUAUAAGAGCAAAAUCACUUCGCGCGUGUUCGCUAGUAGUGGGCCCCACCGACUCCGCCUAGCUCACCACUGUCUGAAAUAGAAGAUUGUACCACAUAUUAUCACAAACGGCCACUAACAUGCCCAAAACAAGCAAAACGGCAAAAUCGGCACAUGCAAGUGCGGAAACGGCAAAAUGGGCGCACGCGCGCGUGCGGAACGGCAAACGGAAAUGGCCAAAUCUGUUGUCUCAAACCGUUUUGAUCAAAAGUUAGGCUAGGAAUGUCAGAUCAAGGUGAUCGAGACACCAUUUCGAAGCUAUGACGAAGGGCUACAAUUCUCAUGAAGACACCUUAAGCUAGAUCUGAAUAGAAGCAGGUUGAAAUUAUGGAAAACAGUAUCAGAAAUUUACGUGUUCGGGUGACAAACAGGGUUUGUUUGCUGGACCAUAACUCACAGCUCACAAAUCCAAAUCAAGAAAUUCCAAAGGCGUUGGAAAUCUAGGACAUAAGGCUAUAACUUUAAUGUUUGGACCAAAAGCUGAAUCAAUACAGAGCAUGGAGGAAAAUGGGCCCAAACAUUCCUAUCAGAACUGUCCAAAUUCGAAGGCAGUUCUGACAACCGAUCUUGUUUUGGUCAUAACUGAAGCUACAAAACUCGGAUUUGGAUGCACUUUAUACCGUUUCGAAGCUAAGACCAAGAUCUACCUUUCUUAUGAAGAUACCAACACCCAGUUCGUACGUUAUCAAAACGGACAAAACAGGGUCAGAAGCUAAAUCCAGAAACACGGCAGAAUCCGAAGUUUAGAAUAGAUGCAACUAUUUUGGCCAUAACUCAGGCUACAUAGAUCCGUUUGAGGUGUUCUUGGUGGCGUUGAAAAGCUAAGACAGAGUACUGAAAAUUUUAUGUUUGGGAAAAUGGCUAAAUCCGAACGGAUUAUAGUGAAUAAACACAACCAAAAAGACUAAACUGUCCACGCGGAACUCUGGAAUGUAACCUAGAACAGUGAGGGUAUUUUCAUCUUUUCACAAGCUACAUUACUCCGAUUGAGCUGAAAUUUUGUAAGCAACUAUAAAAUACCAUUAUCUACAACUUUCAUGUUUUAUGUUAAGCCUAAAUUGGCCUCUAACAUGGUGCAAUAAAACCGGACAGAAUAGAGCUGAAAUUUUCCAGAAAUCUGAAAUUUUGGGAUUCAAUGCAACCUUUCUUGAUUUCUUGCUCUAAUAAUCACUAAAACCCCUUAUAUAAGCUUAGAUACAACAUAUAUCAUCCAUAUAGCAAGGAUAGACAGCAAGUAUCUCAAACCCUAAUUCACAUAAAUCACCUUUAAAUCCUCAUAACAACUUGUAUCACCACUAAUCCAAUCAAAACAAGUAUUAUAUAACAACUUAAACCAAAAUGAAAGAACCAAAGCCAUGGUUUAGCCUUAUACCUCAACAAAUGAAGCUUGCAAGAGUAAUACUUCACUUCCUCUUGGAAGUCUUGUUUCCCCUAGCUUCUCAAGCCCACAACUAACACUUUAAUCGGUUUAGAAGUUUAAUUUCUCACUUGGAUGGCUAAAAUCAAGAAGAAGGAAGUUGUUUCUUGCUCUCUCUUUCUCUCCUCUCUUGUUCGGCCAAGCAGCAGAAAUAAUGAAAGGAAAUGGAGCAAAAUUGGUGAUAAGAAGGUUGGAAUUUGUCUUGGUCAAGAAGCCAUGAUUGAGUGACACUUGUCACCACUAAUACCAACCAAAAUUUUCUUUUUCCUUCUUGCAUUUUUAGCCCUAAAAUUUGGUCAAAACUAGCUGGAAAAUGAGAGGAUAUUUUGCUCAAAUAUUAGUGAGCUUGUAUGGUAAGAAAGUGGUGGUCAAGUGGUGUGUUCAAUCGGUAAUGCACGGUACACGUCGGUUCACACCGUUCUUCCUUAAGUCACACGUACUAGGGUUUUUUUACUUCCUAUUCACUAACCUUUUAUCAUUGCAUCUAAUCACAUAUUAUUUCUUACCCAAAAGUCACUCUUAAGCACCAAAUUUGAUCCUUGCUUCGUACCGAAAAUCAUCCGGCAAAAAUCGCGAAAAUCCUAAUUGCUCUAAUCUUGAAAACGAAGAGUGAAACCCUACUUUCUAGGUUCAUUUGUACUUAUUGUAGAAUGAUUGGGUAGUAUUAAGGGUUUUACACCCAACUUAGAAUUCUAACAAAUCAUAUCACUAGAAACUUUUCUAGUUUAGGGUUUUCCUAACUUUUAAACUCACUUUAAGCACCAUUCGAACUUAUUAAUACAAAACUAGGGUUUCAAUCAUACCCCCAACUUAGGGUUUUCGAAGUAUUCCCAAAACCAAAUGUUACCGCACAAAUAAUGAAUAUAACCUAAUAUCAACCUAAGAACGGACUGGGGCCUCACACAAUCCACAUCUCUAUCUCUGCAAAAAACAUAAUGGCUUAGCUGUUCUUGGAUCUAGAGAUUCUGGGUCUUUCUUAUAUACUAUUAUUAUUGCUAUUAAUUGUAGGAGAAAUUUGAGAGAAUAAGUAUCUUGGAACCUUUGGAUUUGGAUUGAGGGUUUUCUUUUCCAAUUUUUCUUGGAGAUUUUUCUUUUGGAGAUCUUGUUGAAUAAUUUGUCUACUAAAGAUGUUUGCCCACAGUUAACCCAUUCAGAUCUACUUUAGAUCUCUUUUUUGUUUAAAAGAUUUUGGAUAAGAGAUGAAGAAAGUAUGGGAUAAUAGAAAAUCUGAUGAAGAAGAUCAAGUAGACAGAGUGAAGGGCACGUGAUAGAGAGAGAGAGAGAGAGAGUAGAGGCAUUAAUUUCUUGUGAUGGGUAGGUUUGUCCACAAAUGUUGUGAAAGAAUAACUUGAGGGUUUUGUCCAAAACCCCUCAAUUUUUUCGGGAAUGGGAGAAGUCCAAUUUUUUAGAUAUGAUUCCAAAAAGUUCAUUCCAAUAAGUUUAACUCAAGCAACAAAUAAGGGGUUUAUUCCAUUUUGUGAUUCGCAAACUCUUUAACCAAGCGGCCCCUUAGUCUUGCAAAAUUGGGAAAUAGAAAUAAGAUUAUAUUUCAUGGUGGAAACACAGAAAAUAUUAGAUAGGGUAAAAGAGUGAGAGGGAGUGGUAAGAAAUGUGAAACUAGUGUGGGAUAUAGGAAGUCUAGAGCCAUCACCAAUCAUAAUUUCAUUUGUACCAUCAUUAGGACUAUGGAGAACAAGAUUGUUGAAAUCACUAGUGACAUGAUAGGAGGCACCACUAUCAAAUAGCCAUAUGGUGUUGGAAAGAGCAGUGAUUUCAAUAUUUGCUUGAACUUGCUAGGGAGCCAAUGAUCGAGUUUGUGAUGAAUUGCCAGGAUGAGGAGGGGGUUGUGCAUGGGGGAAUUGUUGUAGAAAAAGAUGACAGUAUGAGACUACAUGUACUUGAAUACCGCACCACUGACAACAACUAAGGAAUAGAUGAGUAGGAGGACGGGUGUUUAGAGGGUUGCUGCAAAUAUUUCUUGGGAUACCUUGAGUGGAUGUUGGUGUGGUCCUAGAAAGCUAAGAAGUGCAAUUGGUAGUUGACCAUAGAACGAAGCAAACAUUGGUGGGAUGAGCAGAUGCCAAUAGAGAUGGAAGACUUUAUUUUAUUGCAGAAAGAUAGUUCUUUGUUGAUGAGUUCAUCAAAAGAGAUGGUAGAAUCACAACCAUUGAUAGCAUCAAUAAUGGACUGAUAAUUUUCAUCAAGGCCUUUAAGUACUUUUUCCAUCAAAUCUUCAUGGUUAGAAGAUUUACCAAGAGUAGCAAGUUCAUCGGCUUUGGUUUUAAUAGACUGCAUGUAGUUUGUAAUGGAUUGAGAGGCUUGGAUGAUGUUUUUAAGUUGCUUUUUGAGUUGCUUGAUAUGACCACGAGAUGGUCCGAGCAUAGGUGUUGCCAAAUAUUUGCCAGGCAUCAUAAGAGGUUUUAUAUUAGAAGAUGAGAAGAACUACAAAAGGAGAGAGAGCACCAACAGGUCCUUCAAAUAAUAGUUUACGUUAACGUAAUCAUGUUUGGCGUGUAGGGUUGAUGAAAUUAAUGAUAUUGACGGUGAUGGUGCGUGGAGGAGUAGGGUGAGAUCCACCAAUAAAUUUUUGUAAAUCAUAGCUGAUAAGAAUGGCUUCCACUUGGGUUUUUCAAGAAAGAUAGUUGGUGGAUGUGAGUUUAAUGGAGUUUUGAAUAGUAAUCUUGGUUAAUGGAUUUGAGGGUUCUUGAACAUUGGAAAUGGUGACUUGAGUAUUCUCGUUAACCAUUAACAGAAUGGGAAGUUUUUAUUAAAAAUUGAAAAACGAGGCUGAAAAGAAAAGAACAAGAGCAAAGAGCAAGCCUUUCCUUUGAUACCAUGAUAGAGAAAAAAAUAUUUAUUGAAUUGGGUAAAUGAUACAACAAUAUAAUGCCUAUAUUUAGAGGCAUUAUAUAAUGAAGACAUCUAGAAUAUAUGGUAAGAUUCUAAUUGAUACUAAUAAUACUAAUUGAUACAAUAUCCUAAUUGAUACAAACAAAAUCUUUACAGAAUGUUUUUCUCAAUUGAUUGAUUCGAGUUUUUCAAUUUGAUUGUAUAGUCUUAUUAUACCAUGCUUCCAAAAACACUACAAAAAAUACUUAAUCCAUAUACAAAAUUUAAAUAAAAUUAAUAUAAAUAAAUAAAAUGAAAAAAAGAAUUAAUCUUCUAUAUACUGAUAGUGAUAUACUUUCACCAUUGGAUGCAUGACACAUAAUACGAAUUUGAAUUUGAAAUCUAAAUUUUGUAUAUAUAUCAUGCAUCCAACCGUAAUAGUGUAUACACUGUCAAUGCAUAUAAGAUUUAUUCAUACAAAAAACUUACCACUUCUAUCUCCUUCCACCCACCAAUGUCCCUCCCCUCUUACACUGCAACUCCCACUCUCCUCCCUCUUCCUCUUUUCUCCUCUUUCUACUUCCUUCCUCUUCUUCUUUCUUCUCUUCCUUCUCUUUCUCCUUCCCUUUUCCUACAGCCCUCUCCUUUCCCCUUUCUAGUCACGACCAUGGAGGGAGGAAAAUGAGGAGAAAGGAGAGGAGGGGGAGCUUCUGUCCCUGCCUCUUUUUGGUCAUGACUGAGAAGGGAGGAGGAUAAGAAAGAAGGGGAAGGGAGAAAAAAGGAAGAGGGAUGAGGAAUGAGGGGAGGAAGAGGGAAGAGAAAUGAGAGGGGGAGUAGGAAAGGCGGUGAAGGAGGGACGAGGGGUGUGGUGGUGGGAGGUGAUUUUUUUUUUUAAUUUUAAAUUCUAAAAAUUCUCAAAAAUAUAUUUUCAAAAACACUAUUAAAAACACCCAAGAAUACCUAACCAUCUACAAUAAAAAAGUUUAAAAGUUUUUUUUACUAUAUUAAAAUUUUAUAAAGCACUCAUAAAAACACUUCCAAAAUUAAUUGGAAUUUUGAUGACGUUGUAAGACAUGAUUAUUGGAUAUACCCAGAAUUUAUGAGGAUUAACUUGAUAUCUUUACAAUAAUAAAACCUAUGUAGGUAGUUAACACUAACUUGAUAUUAACAUUAUGUGAUUUCAAAUUUAUUCUUAUCUCUAUUUGUAUCAUAUAUAAAGGGGUAAGGGCCUUUUGGUGUAAAUAAAAAAUUGUUAUCUUAUGAUCUUCCGAAAUUACCCAUUAAGUAUGACUAUCCACUUACCAUAUCUACUUUUAUCUCUCCUAUCCACUAUCAUAUUUACUUCUGUCUCUUCUGCUCACUAUUAUAUCUACUCAUGUUUUUCAUUUUAUAACUACCAUAGGCAUGUCAGUGGGUAGGGUCUGGGUUGGAUCUCUUUAAUCCAAAUCCAGACCCAUUUAAUUUAGUUAAACCCAAACCUAGAUCCAGACUCUUUUGGGUUUGAAAAAAUAAGUCCAUACCCAAACCCUUAUGGAUUUGGGUGUCCAAUGGGCAUCCAUGGGUAUUUUCUAAACAUACUAAAGUAAAAAUAUAUUUAAAAUAUAUAGAGUUCAUAAAUAAUAUAAAUACCAUCCAAUUUUUGUUUUCAAAUAAUAAAAUUAACAUUCAACAUGUUGAAUGCAAUAUUGUGAUUUCAAAGAAAGAAUUAUUAUUGACUACUUCUAUAUAUUUUCAAAGAUUCAACUGCAUCCACAUCCAAUAUUUCAUUUGUUUGCCUUUACCUUUUCUCCUUUUCUUGAAAAAGUUUGUAUUAAUUAUAAUGACAACUAGGACUAGUUUUUACAAAAAGAAAGCAACCAUAACAUAUAUAUAAAUAUUUAGUCUUAUUAAAAAAUGUAAUUUUGUACCUCUUUUUCUUAUUUAAAUUUCAAUGUUGGUAGAUGUAUCGCAAUCCAGCACUAAAAUAAUGAAUGCGAUAAAAGUCAUUUGACUAAGGACUAAUGACAAAUAAAUAAUAGAAUAAAAAAAUUUAUAAUACUUACUCAUUUUUUUUGAUUCAAUCCAAUCAUCAGUAAUCACUAAUGUUUCAACCAUAUCUAAAAGCAAUUUGGCAUGAGUCUUAUCAAUCACCCAACCACCAAUACUAAAUGUAGAUUUUAAUGCCAUAAAAUCUUACUGUAUUCGAUCCAAUAGCCAUAAAAUAUUAUAUUAUUUUAUAAAUUUACUAAUAUAUAUUAUUUAAUUAAAUAAAUAUCGGUCUGGGUAACGUCUGGUGUGGAUUUGGAUUUGGAUAUGGAUUCUAGAAAAUCAGAUCCCUAUCCAGACCCCACAACUCUCUCAUAAGGUCUGGGUUUGGGUAGGAUCUAGAUUUGAGAAAUUAAAUCUAAAUCCUAUCCAAAUAUAUUGGGUCUGUGUUAGAUCUGGAUAAGACCCAACCCAUUGACAUGCCUAACUACCCACUAACAAAUAAUAGUCUAUUUGUAUAUUUUAUUUAUGUAAAUGUCAAUUUUCCGUAUGUAUUAUAAAAAUAUAAAACCAAAUCUCAUAAAAAAUAAUUUCAACAGAUAUCUUUAAUAAAUUUUUAAAUAUUUAUUUAUUAUUACACACGCAUCUCAAUGUGCCUUUCUACUAAAAAAUGCACGCCCAAAACUGUUAGUAAACUAUUUCGAGUUCCUCCUUUGCUUUUGGCUUUUGAAUGGGAGUUCGGACUUGGCCAUUUUUACAAGGGAUAAUUUCAAAAACCUCCCCUGAGGUUUCUGACGGUCUCACUCACCUCCCCUGAACUUUGCAAAAUAUCAGAUACCUCCCUUGUCAGAUUAUUGGACCCUAUUUGUGAUAUCAUUGAUGAUGAAUUGACAGAUAUAGCCUCAUAACUUAUGAUAUAUUUUGAAACUAUUUUGACAGAAUUAGUUAAAUGAGUAAUAGAGAUAUAACUUUUGAUAUAACUUAUGAUAUAUCUUCUAUUCUACUUUACACUUUUUAUUCGUAGUACAAUCACCAAUGAAGAGUUUAGCAUUAGUGUUACCUUUCUCUAAAGUCAUGUAUUUCAUUUUUUUUUUGUAAGACAAUUAUCUAGUGUAACUCAUUACUUAUAUUUGGGUAAAUUUGGUUUUCAAAAAUUCAAUGACGUAAAUUGUAUAUUACAUUAUCUCAUAAAGUGAUGCGACACAAUUUGGGUUAUUGAAUUUUUUGAAAAUCGGAUCUACCUAAGUUCUGGUAUUCAAACGAAGCUUGUUGAAUAAAUUCGACUAACUACAGUGUGAAUUAAUUUUUUUUUUAAAAAAAAAUCUCAACUAAAGUAUCUAGCAAUAAAUGAAAUGAAGUAUCUUGCUACUUCAUUUCAUUUUUCACAGAGAAAAUCGCAAAAAGAGUUAUUAAACUAUUGAGAAUUUGGUUAUUUGAUCGUUACAUUAUUUAUUUAACUGCAAUUGCCAUUCACUCAAUUAACCAAAUAGUGAAAAUUUUUUUGUGACAUAACUAGUAAAAAUUUAUACUUUUAAUCACUCAAAUAAUAUUUUUUAUGACUUAACUAAUAAAAAUUUAUACUUUUAAUCACUCAAAUUAUAAAACUAUACAUUUUUUUAAUAUCACCAGAAGUAUGUUUCAAUUAAUUGAAUGAUCAUAUUAGCUAAAUAAAUGUCUAAUAGCUAAAACAAAAAACUAUAAAUUGCUUGAAGAAGUCAUCUGCAUUUGUCUCUAUCUGGUUCAACUUAUUACUUCUUUUUUUUGCUUUUGCUUUAGCUCAAGUUGUGGAUAAGCAAAAAGGGCAUAUGUGGAACACAAAUAUCAUCUCACUCCUCAAAAUAUUUUUUUAAUGCUCAUUUUUCUGACAUGGGCUGAUCUUGUUACUCCAACUAUAAGUUCAGGGGGGGUAUCUGAUAUUUUACAAAGAUCAGGGGAGGUGAGUGAGACUGUCAGAAACCUCAGGGGAGGUAUCUGAAAUUAUCCCUUUUUACAAGCAAAAGUCGAUUUGCAUCAGUACAGCAGUACUUAAUCCAAGAAUAGAGGGGCUCAUUCCGAUGAAAGAAAUCUAGCGUCUGGAUCACACUUCAGCUUCUUCACCCCUUGGACUUGAGAGUCAUCACGGAGAAAUGGACAGCCGCAACGUCAUCGUUUGCGACAAUGGCACUGGGGUAUGUCUCAUUUUUUCCGCAUUUCUUCAAAUAACUGCUAUCCAGCCUUUGAUUUUAAAUCCUAUUAAGCAAUUUAUUUGGUUCCUCAAAUUUAUCUGGGAUCGGCCCUUUGCGUCCCCUAAUCUCCUCUAGCUAAAAGUUUUCUUUUUUUUUUUUUAACAAUUUUAAGAAUAGAUAGGUGAAGCUUCUGUGUGUGGGAUGUGUGUGCGCGUGUGUUUUUAUUGAAAGAAAAAAAAAAUCAGAUUUUGAUUCCAUGGGUAUUUUUGCAGUAUGUCAAGUGUGGCUUUGCAGGUGAGAAUUUUCCCACAUCAGUAUUCCCUUGCGUUCUUGGAAGGCCAAUGCUAAGAUAUGAGGAAUCCCUCAUGGAACAAGAAGUCAAGGUUUUUUUUUGAAGUUAGAAUUAAGCCAAAUAUUGUUUUCUCUCUUUAGAGUUGGGAUCAAUUCCAGUGUGAGGAUAGGUUAAUUUAAAUAAUAUACAAUUUGCAUUCCAACUUCGAUAGAGGACUAAACAUAGCCUUUGGAAGAGCUUUAAUAUGUUCAUUUUCCUUUCUGUUCUUUUUUUUUUUUUUUUAAUAACCUGAUAGGACAUUGUUGUUGGAGAUGCUUGUUUGAAACUGAGGCAUCAGCUGGAUAUUUCCUAUCCUGUCAACAAUGGGAUAGUGCAAAAUUGGGAUGAUAUGGGCCAUGUAUGGGAUCAUGCCUUUUUUAAUGAGCUGAAGGUAAAAAAUUUGGUGCUUGUUGUAAUUAAUUUAUGAAACUAAUUCAGGCAAUUAAUUUCAAUUUUAUAAAAAGGGUGCACUAAGAUGGUUAAUUGGUGAGGAUGUGGUUUUGAAAUAUUUGUUACAACAAGGCAUUUUGACUGACCAGUGUACAAAUUGUAUGCCUUUUUAAUAUUUUUUAUACACAUUGAGUAGUAAAUUUUGGACAAAAAUCAAAGCAAGUGCUGUUUAUAAUAAUAAAUAGCGCAACAUGAUCCCUCUUUAUCAAUCGAUCAUUUUAGUGAGCCCUUUCCACUAAUUUUUCCUUUUUAUGUAUUGAUCAGUUUUCAAGUUUUACUGAAAAUUUGUCAUUUCUUUACUUGAAGGUAGACCCAACAGAGUGUAAGAUCUUGCUCACUGAUCCCCCUUUGAACCCAUCCAAGAAUCGUGAAAAGAUGGUUUGUAUCUAUCUUCUUCAUAACUAUAUGUUUGAUACUGCAAACAUUUUAACCUCUUGGUAUUAUUUGUGAGUCUUGUUUAAAUUUCAGGUUGAGACCAUGUUUGAGAAGUAUAACUUCGCUGGUGUCUUCAUACAAGUUCAAGCUGUUUUAACAUUGUAUGCUCAAGGUGCUUAUAGAGACUGGAUAAAGUUGAAUCUUCAAAUGUUAGUUUUAGAGGGGAAGCAUGCUUUGUCAUUGCUUGGUUUAUCUCAAGACAUGCUUGUGAUGAACAUUUCUACAAUGAAAUCCUUGAAUGGAAAUUUAUCAAAUGUGAUUGAUUCGUUGUCCAAUCUUCUUUUGAAUCCACAGGUUUGCUUACAGGAUUAGUUAUUGACUCUGGUGACGGUGUUACGCAUGUGGUAAACUGCUGAUCUUCACCUUUGCUUGGUUUAUCAAUAUUAUGAUGAUUUUCAGGAUUAUCUUCCUCUGCUCCUUGGAUAAAGAUGAACAGCUUAUUCUUUAGAUGUCUUAUGAACUAGUUUGGUGUGCUUAACAUAGUGAUCAACAUGCAAAGUAGCUAAAAGCAAGUUUGUUCCUCUAGUAUAGUUGCUUUCUACUCUGAAGUUUAAUGAAGGCACUUCAGGAAUUUUGUUUUGGUUGCGGUUUUAUUUGACUUUGUACACAGGAUUCAAAACGAAUUUACUGUAACUAAUCUAUGUAAGAGAAUGCAAUCCUUUGUUUUAAUCUUACAAGUGUUGACAGUUUAAAUGGAAAAAUGUAGCAAACAUAUCAAAACAUGAGGAUUGGUAGUCUUUUCUUAUUGAUGAACUACUCUUACCAUUUUUUUCAGAUAUAUAUAUUUAAUUUCUGACUCUUUUGUCAUGACUUGCAAAUAAUAGAAGUCUGUUGUGGAUAUGUAAAUCUGUUGCAAAUUAUAUUCUUCAGUAGGUAUAUAAAUCUGUGGAUAUUUAACUGAUUAUCAGGUGAUCUAGAAGCUAUUGUUUCUUGAUUGAAGAUGUGAAAUAAUUUUUCUAUCUGAUCCAGAAAGAAUAUGCUACUUGUUCAUAAAUGCUACUUGGUUACUUGACAGCUAAGGUUUUACAGGUUCCGGUUGUGGAUGGAUACUCAUUCCCUCAUCUCACAAAAAGAAUGAAUGUGGCUGGACGCCAUAUUACAUCAUAUCUCGUAGAUUUGCUCCAACGGAGAGGGUGAGUGCAAUCAUGUGGCUGAAAUGAUCAUAACGUCUUGUGUUCUCAUAACUGUUUUCCCAUUUGCCCUUCUAAUUUGCAAAUAAUGCUUCUGGUUUGAAGGUAUGCAAUGAAUAGAAGUGCUGACUUUGAGACAGUUAGGGAUAUUAAAGAGAAAUUAUGCUACAUAAGGUGAAGAGUCGCAUCAAACUGUGGCUUUCAAACUUAUGUUUUUAUGUUUUGAAUUUUUAACUUGAGGUGCAAUUGGGUGCAGUUAUGAUUAUAAAAGGGAAUAUCAAUUGGGACUUGAGACAACCAUCCUUGUUAAGAAUUAUACAGUGAGUUAAUUUCUUUUAAACAGUAUCUUUUUACUAAUGUCUUUUCUAAUCAAGAGAUACCAAAUCCAAACAUGUCUAAUCUUUGUUGCAUCAUGACCAGGGUGCAAAGGACAAUGUCUUCUUAUGUUGAGAUCUAUAAUUUGCAUCGCAAUUUUCUGAAAUUAGUACUUUGAUUUCUAAAUUUAUUGUUUCUAAAAAGAAAUUUUCUGCUCCAGAAUAUGUUUUUCCUGUUUUCUUGUCCUGAAUAGUAUUUACUUUUCUUGUUCUGCUAAUAAAAUUAGGGGUUUAUCUAACAGUUACCUGAUGGAAGGGUGAUUAAAGUUGGGACUGAGAGAUUCCAGGCAUCUGAGGCUCUUUUCACUCCGGUAAACAUGUCUACUGUUUGUUGCUUCGAACUUUUUUACCCGAUCUUCCAAUUCCAUUAUAUGCUGUCCCCCAGACAUGAAACUGUUAGGAGAAUAUUAGUAUUCUUGUAGAUAAUAUAUUAGUAAGGGUAUUCUUGUAAACAGUCCGUUAGGUUUGUACUCCUAUAAAUAUUAGUUGGUCACUCAUAAUACGGUGACUAGAUGUUUUCCUCCCAAGAUACCUCUUUACAUGGUAUCAGAGCAAGAGUCCUAGGGUUUAGGUUAAACAUCUAGCAAAGUACUGUUCACGCCGCACUGUUCAUCGCGGCACUGUUCACGGCGCACUGUUCACGCCGGCACUGUUCACGCGUACUGUUCACGCGUCUCGAGUUUUGACCCUUUCUUGGGUUUGAAGUGCUAUUCGCUAUGGCUGAAAGUUUAUCAAAAAGUAUUGUGACGUCCACUAAUAUUAUGCCAAUGGUGAUGCCUCAAAUCACAAAUUGGAAGUUGAAUGAUACCAAUUAUCAACAGUGGUCAAAAGCUGUUAAGAUUUAUCUGACAGGCUUAGGAAAGCAACGUUAUCUCACAGAUGACUCUCCUACGGAGGAUAGCAAGAAACUAAUGUGGAUUCAAGAGGAUGCCCAAAUUCUUGGAGCAAUAUGGAAUUCUAUGGAGCCACGAAUUGCUUACAUGUGUUCUCAUUGUGAGACAACAAAAGAAGUUUGGGAUUAUGUCCGGUUAUUAUAUUGCAGUAAUCUCUCACGGAUGUUUGAUAUUUCUUUGGAGUAUUUUCAGUUGCAACAAGAUAACAAGACAGUAACUGAAUACUUUGCUGAUCUUAAGCGAGUCUCAGAGGAAUUAAAUGCUGUAAUGCCUCUCUCAAGUGAUAUCAAGGUUAUGCAGAGGCAAAGAGAACAAAUGCUUGUGCUCAAAUUCCUGGCUGGUCUCAAGCCGGAAUUUGAACCAAUCAAAUCUCAAAUUUUAGCAGGUGAACAAUUACCAUCCUUUGCAGAGGCGUAUGCUCGGGUCUUACGUUCUGCAUCUAAGGACAAUGCACAGGGUGAUGGUGCUUUAAUUAAUGACAAAUCUGCUUUAAUUGCUAACAAUAAUCGGACAGAGCAACUUAAUUUUGGACGUGGCUCUCGUGGAGGAAGAAGUAGAGGAGGUCGUGGGGGUCGUGGAGGUCGAGGCACCCGUGAGUGCAAUCAUUGUGGUUUAAAGAAUCACACUCGUGAUACUUGUUGGGAUUUAAAUGGAAAACCACCUCGGUUUGUUAAUACGGUUACCACUGAUCAAACUGAAUCAAGUUCUUUAGCACAAGGGUCUCAGAAGACUGUUACCAUAUCUGAGGAAGAUUAUAUCAAAUUUCUGCAGUACCAAACUGCAAAUCACGCAUCUCUUCCCUCUACUUCUGUAGCACAAAAAGGUAAUGCUAUGGCUUGUCUCUCCACAUCAUCUAAUUUUGACUCAUGGAUCAUUGAUUCCGGAACUACUGAUCAUAUGUCAGGUACCUCUAGAAAUUUUUCUAAUUUUCAAGAGUCUACUUCCUUCCCUCAUGUUACUUUAGCUGAUGGAUCUACAACUAAAGUUAAAGGACUAGGCACUGUAGAAAUUAACUCAUCUCUUCCGCUGCCUUCUGUUCUUUACGUUCCCAGUUUGCCUUUUAAUCUAAUGUCCGUUAGUAAGCUUACUAAAUCUCUACAGUGUUCAGUUAUUUUUUCUCCUGAUUUUGUUGUCAUUCAGGAUUUGAAGACAAAGAGGACGAUUGGUGGAGGACAUGAGCAUAAUGGUCUUUACUUUCUCAACUCUAAUGGUCCGAUUGCGUGCCCUGCUACUGUUUCUCCUCUUGAAAUUCACUGUCGUUUGGGUCAUCCGUCUCUACAAAAUUUGAAGAAGUUGGUCCCUACCUUGAGUCAGUUGUCUUCAUUAGAAUGUGAGUCUUGUCAAUUAGGAAAGCAUCAUCGUGUUUCUUUUGUCCCUAGGGUCAAUAAACGGGUUUCGGAACCCUUUUUGUUAGUUCAUUCUGAUGUUUGGGGUCCUAGUCGAGUAACUUCAAAGUUAGGUUUUAAAUAUUUUGUAAUCUUUGUUGAUGAUUUUUCCAGAGUUACAUGGCUUUAUUUAAUGAAAGAUCGUUCAGAAUUAUAUUCCAUUUUUUGUGCAUUUGUUACAGAAAUAAAGACUCAAUUUGGUGUGCCUGUACGUAUACUUCGCAGUGAUAAUGCGAAAGAAUAUUUUUCCACUCCUUUUGAUACCUUUAUGACUAAGUCCGGUAUUCUUCAUCAGUCCUCUUGUCCUCACACUCCACAACAGAAUGGAGUUGCUGAAAGAAAAAUUGGACAUUUAAUCGAAGUUGCUCGGACACUUUUGUUGCACAUGAAUGUACCCAAACAAUUUUGGAGUGAUGCAGUUUUAACUGCAUGUUAUUUAAUUAAUCGCAUGCCAUCCGAUAUUCUUGGAGGCCAACUACCUCACUCCAUUCUUUUUCCUCAGGACCCUAUAUUUAAAUUACCUCCUCGUAUUUUUGGUUGUGUGUGUUUUGUUCAUCAGCUUGCUCCCGGGGUGGAUAAAUUAGAUUCUCGUGCCAUUAAGUGUAUUUUCUUAGGAUACGCACGAGCGCAAAAGGGGUAUAGAUGUUACAGUCCAGUUUUAAAUCGUUUUUUCACUUGUGCUGAUGUUACUUUCUUUGAAUCCACUCCUUAUUUUAUGAAGCAAGGUAUGUCUUGUGAGUUAGACCAGUGUUCCUCUUUUUCUCCUCCUGUUUUACCAGUCCCUUCAUCUUUAUUACCUGAGUUAUCGGGUUCACCAGAUUCCACCACUCGAUUAUCUCAUCCUAAUCUUCAAGUUUAUUCUCGUCGUUCCAUGGUUGAGAAAGCUCCUGAUAUGCUACGCACUUCACCAAUUAACUCUCAAUCUUCAGAUCCAGGUAUGACGCCCUCUUGUGAGUCAGAUCUUCCUAUUGCUUUACGUAAAGGUAAGAGACAUUGUACUUCUCAUCCUAUUUCUAAUUUUGUCUCUUAUUCUCGUCUCUCUCUGUCAUAUUCUUCUUUUGUUGCAUCUCUUGAUUCGGUAUCCAUUCCUAAGUCUAUUACCCAUGCUCUCAAUGAUCCUGGUUGGAGGUUAGCUAUGCAGGAAGAGAUGCUUGCUUUGGAGAAAAAUGGUACUUGGGAUCUUGUCCCUCGUCCUUCAGGUAAGCCUGUUGUUGGUUGUAAAUGGGUGUACACUAUAAAGGUGCAGCCUAAUGGUUCUAUUGAUAGAUUGAAGGCUCGUCUGGUAGCUCGAGGAUUUACUCAGGUGUAUGGAGUAGACUACUUAGAAACAUUUUCUCCUGUUGCAAAGAUUACCUCGGUUCGCCUUCUUAUCUCUUUGGCAGCAACUUACAAUUGGCCAUUGCAUCAGUUGGAUGUGAAAAAUGCAUUUCUGCAUGGAGAUUUGGAAGAAGAGGUAUAUAUGGAACAACCUCCUGGAUUUGUUGUUCAGGGGGAGAAUUCGCAGUUGGUUUGUUGUUUGAAAAAAUCCUUAUAUGGAUUGAAACAGUCUCCAAGGGCUUGGUUUGGCCGGUUUAGUAGUGUGGUCAUGGAGUUCGGUCUGACGAGAUGUGGAGUAGACCACUCUGUAUUUUAUGGGCAUUCUAAUGCUGGUAAAAUUUUAUUAGUUGUUUAUGUGGAUGAUAUUGUGAUUACAGGUGAUGAUGUUGUGGGGAUCCAGAAACUUAAAUCCAAUCUGCAGGCAAACUUUCAGACAAAGGAUUUAGGUCAUUUACAGUAUUUUCUGGGUAUUGAGGUAGCUCGGUCUAAAUAUGGGAUUUAUUUAUGUCAAAGGAAAUAUGUACUCGAUAUGUUGAGUGAAGUUGGGAUGUUAGGUUGCCGACCUGUGGAUACUCCUAUGGAUCCCAAUGUGAAAUUAGCAAGAGAUCAAGGAGCAUUACUUGAUGAUCCUAAGCAAUAUCGAAAACUUGUGGGUAAGUUAAAUUAUCUCACUGUAACGAGACCUGACAUUUCAUUUGCAGUGAGUGUUGUGAGUCAAUUUCUUGAUACUCCUCGUACUAGUCAUUGGGAUGCUGUUAUACGAAUUCUCAGGUAUCUUAAGGGUGCUCCUGGAAAAGGGUUGCUAUAUCAAAAUCAUGGACACACUGAUAUUGAAGGAUAUAAUGAUGCAGAUUGGGCCGGUUCUGCCUCAGAUCGAAGAUCGACCACAGGAUAUUGUGUGUUUGUUGGUGGUAAUUUAGUGUCGUGGAAGAGUAAGAAGCAAACAGUUGUCUCCAGAUCAAGUGCAGAAUCUGAAUACCGUGCUAUGGCUCACACUGUGUGUGAGUUGGUUUGGUUGAAAAGCAUGUUAGUUGAAAUUGGGUUUGAGUAUAAACAGCCUAUGAAUUUAGUGUGUGAUAAUCAGGCGGCUGUCCAUAUUGCGUCUAAUCCAGUGUUUCAUGAAAGGACAAAACAUAUUGAAGUUGAUUGUCAUUUCAUUCGAGAGAAAUUACUUGAUGGAAUCAUCAAGACAUCUCAUGUACCGUCUGCAGAUCAAUUGGCUGAUUUGUUUACCAAGAGUUUAGGGGGCUCUAGGGUGAAAUACCUUUGUAACAAGUUGGGUGCUUAUGAUAUAUAUGCUCCAACUUGAGGGGGAGUGUUAGGAGAAUAUUAGUAUUCUUGUAGAUAAUAUAUUAGUAAGGGUAUUCUUGUAAACAGUCCGUUAGGUUUGUACUCCUAUAAAUAUUAGUUGGUCACUCAUAAUACGGUGACUAGAUGUUUUCCUCCCAAGAUACCUCUUUACAGAAACAAAUGAAAAAUUACUAGAAGCUGGUUUUAUUGUGUCAUUUUGAACCCUAUGCUCUUUAACAGUUUAUUGUAAAAGGUUCCUAUUUUUCCUUGACAGUAACUGUGUGCUAAAACAUUGCGAAUUUUCACUCCUUAUGUUCAAAUGUGUGGUUGGAAGUAUGAAAACAGGACUAAGGGUGUAACUGAUAUGUUCAAAUGCGAAAUUUCACUCUUUAUGUUCAAAUAGUGCUAUACUCCGAAUCAAAUUCAGAAAAAACUUGAGCUCUACCACAAGUUUGGCCUUGAUCAAGUAUUCUAAUUGGAGCUUGAGUUUGAAUCAUCACAUAGAAGUUCAAGUUCGAGCUCGAUUCGAGCUUGCUUGACUAUUGAAAUAUUGAGCAAGCCUGAACUCGAGUCAUGUGCUAGCUUGAGGCAAGUUGCUUGACUCAUUCAGACUUUUUCAAUACAACUAAAAGAGCAACAAUAAUUGGUAUCAGCAGAGUGUACCUCUAUAAUUGCCAAUAGUGCACUAAGACCUCAAUAAUUAUUGUUAGAACCAUUUCUUAUCUGCGAUUUUACCUGAAAGUCCACCAAUUGGGCCGAAAAGGAUUCACAAUAUUAUAGUAAAAAUUUUCUCUUUUUAGUUCAACUGUCCAUUUGGGUUUUGGAAGUGGGAAGACUUGACAAGAAAACAGAGGGAUGACCACCGCCUCUUUAAUUUACCUUCCUCUUUGGAUCUGGCCACAAAUAUAGCCGCCUCUUCAGAUGAGGACACAGAUAUGAGGAAUAGGAGAGACAACAUGAGAAUGAACAACAGGAGAGAGAACAAGAAAGUAAGGAAGGCAUGGAAUAAGUAAGGGUAAUAUUGUUUUCAGAGUAAUAAAAUAUACUAAAAUGUCCCGAUUUAGACAAAUAUAAUUGUUGUACAAAGUGUAAUUUUGUCGUAAGUGUACAAAUACUUUAGCAUUUGUACAUUUGUAUAUAAAAGUAGUAUACUUAUAUGAUCACUGGCAAGGCUCUAUGAGCUUUCAAAUGGAAUACCGCUCAAACUCAACUUGACAAAACUAUUAAGCUACUCAAGCUUGAUAUUUGCCAAGUUCGAGUCGAGCUUUUGGCUGGCUGCUUGUGUGCAGCUCAAGUCAUUUACACCAAUAAACAGGACAAUUGUGUCCCCAUAGUGAUAGGUAAAACAGCCUAAAUUCUGGUUCCUUCUCGUGAUUCCUGUACUGUUGAUGUUGAAUAUGGACCUUGUCUCUUAACACUUUUACAUAUUGUAAUUUAAGGCAGUUAAUAUGUUUAGUUAUUGGAAUUUAUGCAAAGCAUCUAUGGUUGACCAUGAUGCAAGUGCAAGACUUUUUGUUUGAUGAAUUCUAUCUCUAAAGCAAAUGGAUCUCAACUUCCCAAAAAAAGAAGUUAAUAUUGAAUUUGAAUUUGCAGGAAUUGAUUGAUGUUGAAGGUGAUGGAAUGGCUGACAUGGUGUUUCGCUGCAUUCAGGAAAUGGAUAUUGACAACCGCAUGAUGGUAUAAUUAUUAUAAAUACCUCAUAACUGAUAAUUUAUCAUUGCUUGCACACGACAUAAGUCAGUUAUUAUGAUAUACUAAAUGCAUGAUUUUCCUGUUUGCAGCUAUACCAGCAUAUUGUUUUGAGUGGAGGAAGUACAAUGUAUCCUGGGUUACCGAGUCGGUAAUAUUUUCUGGUUCUGUUUUGCUUAAAUUGAGCCAUAGACUUUGAACAUCUUUUGAAUUACUUUUAAGUAAUUGUUUACUACUAAGCUUGCUGUUUUGCAUUAUUUCUGUCUUCUUGGGUUACCAAUGACUUACUGUUUGCAUGGCUUCUUGAUUGCAGAUUUUUCUCUUACUAUCUAGACAAUUUUCGUCCUCCUUUUCUCUUCGUUUCUUGCAAGCAAUUUUUCCUUGAUUUGAACAAUGCAAAUGUAGAUUUCUUUAUUAAAUUACGUGAAUCAGCGAGUAUAGUUUGUUUUCCUGGUAAUUUUGUUUUUUAAAAUGGUCUCUCGUAUCCACUCCUCUCCUGGUUAACUUUGAAAUUCGUUAGCUAUAUUCAGUUUGCUAGUUUCGAGUUUUAAUUGGCAUAAUGUAGAGAAAAGGGCCAUUAGCAUGCACAAGUGGUCUCUUGUGAUGCUCAAAAUGGGCUCUAAUCUCGAGAAGAAGAAAAAUUUAUCUAUAACCAUUAACUGUGGCCUC